RNAcentral lists this ribosomal RNA (320 nucleotides) under uncultured eukaryote. RNAcentral's name for it is "partial 18S ribosomal RNA". It matches the Rfam family "Eukaryotic small subunit ribosomal RNA", at positions 1470 to 1796 of the family's 1831-position model. The record is from RNAcentral.
CCCUUAGAUGUCCUGGGCCGCACGCGCGUUACACUGAUGCAUUCAACGAGCUUAUAACCUUGGCCGAGAGGCCUGGGCAAUCUUGUUAACGUGCAUCGUGAUAGGGAUAGAUUAUUGAAAUUAUUAAUCUUGAACGAGGAAUUCCUAGUAAACGCAGAUCAUCAAUCUGCAUUGAUUACGUCCCUGCCCUUUGUACACACCGCCCGUCGCUCCUACUGAUUGGGUGAUCCGGUGAGCUGUUCGGCCAUAGCAAUGUUUCUUGAGCAGGGCAAUGAAUGUUUCGCAAACCUUGCCACUUAGAGGAAGGAGAAGUCGUAACA